GAGACAGCUAGUGGAUUGACCGGCGUUGUAUUAGCUAGUUGGUGAGGUAAAGGCUCACCAAGGCGACGAUACAUAGCCGACCUGAGAGGGUGAUCGGCCACACUGGGACUGAGACACGGCCCAGACUCCUACGGGAGGCAGCAGUAGGGAAUCUUCGGCAAUGGGGGCAACCCUGACCGAGCAACGCCGCGUGAGUGAAGAAGGUUUUCGGAUCGUAAAGCUCUGUUGUUAGAGAAGAAUGAUGGUGGGAGUGGAAAAUCCACCAAGUGACGGUAACUAACCAGAAAGGGACGGCUAACUACGUGCCAGCAGCCGCGGUAAUACGUAGGUCCCGAGCGUUGUCCGGAUUUAUUGGGCGUAAAGCGAGCGCAGGCGGUUUUUUAAGUCUGAAGUUAAAGGCAUUGGCUCAACCAAUGUACGCUUUGGAAACUGGAGAACUUGAGUGCAGAAGGGGAGAGUGGAAUUCCAUGUGUAGCGGUGAAAUGCGUAGAUAUAUGGAGGAACACCGGUGGCGAAAGCGGCUCUCUGGUCUGUAACUGACGCUGAGGCUCGAAAGCGUGGGGAGCAAAACGGUGUAGAUACC
Molecule: ribosomal RNA, 583 nt
Filed under: Lacticaseibacillus rhamnosus
Lineage: Bacteria; Bacillati; Bacillota; Bacilli; Lactobacillales; Lactobacillaceae
Description: bacterial SSU rRNA
Rfam family: Bacterial small subunit ribosomal RNA
Source: RNAcentral